GAACAUGCAUCCUUCUUUCUUCUUUUACUUCUUCUAUUUUAUUCUUUUCUUUAUUCUUUCAUUUGUGCUCCCUGUUGCCCGAAUAAGAGAUAGAAGCAGGCGAGAGAUAGAGAGCUGAGUGAAAUUGAGAGAGAAACAGAGCCAGAGAGAAGGAGAAUGGGAGAGAGAGUAGUGUAGUCGGGGAGAUUGUGAGUGAGACAGAGAGAUGAAAGAGAAAGAGAGAGGAAGAAUUGAGAGAGAGAUAGAGAAAAAGAGAGUGAGAGAACAGAGAAACCGAGACAUGAGAGAUCGGGAGAGAGAGGGAUAUGGGAGAUCAGGAGAGGGAGAGCCCUGAAGGGAGAGCUCCGGGAGACCCGUGAAAGAGAACCCGCCGAACCCAGGGGAGACCGAAGGUCCGACCUUCUGGCGGCUCAUGGUGGGCGACGUUCGUGACUCCCAGUGAACCCAGGGAACGCCGGCGACAACUACCAGUAGAGCUAGGCCGAUUUCCGGCCAAUGGUAGAGGACCCGUGCGAUCCAUGAUCGGGAGACCCGUGCGACCUGUGUAACCCACGAACCCGAAACCCAUCCAGCCCAACCCGGAAGUCCAAAACUCGUAGCCCAUAAACCGUGACCCAGCAGGAACCCACGAACCCGUCAAACCCAGUUGAAACCCGAACCGUGAAGACCACCGACCCAGAAGCCCAUUCCAGCUGCGAUUCAGACCAGACCCGUAGUAGACCCGUGAACCUCGGCCCAACCCAGACGAUCCAGCUGAACCCGUGAACCCCGGCCCAACCCGUGACCCGUGAGCCCAGUUCAGCAAGCAGUAGCUGAGCCCAGUCCAGCCCAUCCCAGCAAGCAAGCCCAACCCAGUCGGCCCACGAACCAAUUUCAGUCCAGACCCGCUGAGCCUGACCCAGCAGUGAUCCAACCAUGACCUGAACCCGGAGACCCGACCCGCAGGUGACCCGUCUCCGGCAGAGUCUUCCGGCGACUUUUCCGGUGACCUUUCCGGCGACUUCCCGUGACCAAACUCACCGUUUUCACUAGAUUUUCUAGUAAAAUCCUUAAUGUGAUGAACUGAGAGAAUGUACGAAAAGAUACCCAUGUUGCAGGUACGAAAGUGUAUAAAGCUCAAGGAUAGGAGUUUGUUAACAUUACAGGAAUUAGAACUAUUCGAUAAUGUAGUUGAUGAUUGUAGUGAAUUCUUGUAUCAAUUGAAAUGUAAUACUUUAAUUACGUUUAUCACUCAAUAAAGCUCUGAUGUGUUAUUUAAUUCAAGCCUGUUGGAUAAAUUAUAUCUUCCGCUGCGAGAGUUUAUCUCUGAUGUAGUAACGUCACGUGGGAAUAGGCAAGAGGUAGAGGCCCCUUUCAAGAGUCUUGAUGGCUUUCUGAUAUGAAAUUAUUAGAUUUGGUAAAUGAUGUCAUUUACGUUCAUA
Long non-coding RNA from Alnus glutinosa, 1421 nucleotides. RefSeq lists it as uncharacterized. The record is from RefSeq and is a predicted model, not a curated record. The transcript is spliced from 3 exons. NCBI's taxonomy places the organism in Eukaryota, Viridiplantae, Streptophyta, Magnoliopsida, Fagales, Betulaceae.